UAUGCUUUUAGAAGUAUAGCAGCAUUUGUAGUAUUAAGUCAUUUUUUAUGCUAGAAUUUUCGAAUCGAUAAUUAGCUCUAUUAAAUUUGAUAUAGAAUAUUUGAAGUAAUUAGAAAAUACAUUUCGUGAUUUCGUGUUUUUUUUUAUACCAUAUACCUAGUGACCGACGGAGCCUAAAAUUAAUAAUUUUGAUAAUCGUGGUAAAUCAUUUGCAGAUUUAAUGGUCUAAAAAUAUUCAAAUCAUGUAUUUUGUAAAUUAUAUCAAAAAUUUAUGAGAUUUAUUUUCUAAAUAUUUUUACUACUCUAGAUUAAGCCAAAUGGAGUCGAUCGUCAAUCCGAAAAUUCUAGCAUAAAAAACGAUUUGGUAAUACGAAAACUAAAGUGCUUUCAGAAGUACGUAUACAAG
RNAcentral lists this long non-coding RNA (406 nucleotides) under Ananas comosus (pineapple). RNAcentral describes it as "long non-coding RNA (ACOM_LNC036668)". Lineage: Eukaryota; Viridiplantae; Streptophyta; Magnoliopsida; Poales; Bromeliaceae. The record is from RNAcentral.